GAACGAGAGAGAGAGAAGUGGGGCGGCGUCCGACGAGGAGCUCUCCUUGCUCUUCGUCAAAAUCUAGGGUCUUGGAAUCGAUCUCUUCUCCCGAGAGAAACCGACUAUAUUUUGAUCUCAGUUGCUCUUUUCUGGUGGCAUUGUGCUUUAAAUGUAAUAUAGCCGAUUUUCAUGUGACAAUAUGGAGGAAGAGGAUGAGGACAAACUUUUGUUGAGUAGUUUGGGCAUCGCAUCUGCGAAGCCAGAAGAUAUUGAACGUAAAAUAUUGUCAGAGGCAAAAAGUGAUGCUAAGUGUGGUAGUGAAUCUGAGGUCUGCUCUGAGGAGCAUGGGCUCGAUGGAGAGCCUGAAACUGGUACAUCAUCUACCGGCCGAGUUAAACUUUAUAAUAGAUUACGGGCAGUAGAAAUUGAGAUUGAUGUCGUAGCUUCUAGCAUUGAAGCGGUUAAAGAUGUUGCAGACAAUGAGAAUGACCAUACAGGUAACACAGAUAUUAAAGAGGAUAAUGCUAAGGGAAAUGCUGAUGGUUCUGGUCAAGUUACAUGCAAUGGAUUAACUCUGCAGCAGGCACUAGCAACUGACCGUUUAAGAAGCCUCAAGAAAACAAAGGCUCAACUUCACGAAGAAAUCUCUAAGCUUGAUGAGAAUGCCGCUUCCGAGGACAUUGGACAUGAGAAGCUACUUGCCGAGCUGGUUGAAGAGAAUCCAAAGCGCAAGAGGAAAUCAAAAGCAGUUGAACAGUCUAAUAGGGAUUCAAAAAGUCAUUUGAAAACUGUUGCUUAUGAUGAAGAUGCUGAUUUUGAUGCAGCGCUGGACACAGCCUCAACUGGAUUUGUUGAAACUGAAAGGGAUGAAUUGAUCCGUAAAGGAAUAUUAACUCCAUUUCAUAGGAUUAAAGGCUUUGAGCGUCGUGUUCAACAACCUGCACCAUCAAAUAGGCACGUGCCUGAGGAAAGCGCGGCUGAAGAUCAUGCUUCAGCUAGCAUAGCUAGAGUUGCUCAAUCAAUAUCAGAUAUAGCACGGAGCCGCCCAACAACCAAAUUGCUUGAUGCUGAGGCUUUACCUGGACUUGAUGCACCAACCCAUCCUUUUCAAAGACUUAAAGCACCCUUGAAACGUCCGGUCUCUCCAAAAGGAAAGGAGUUAGAGAAGAAAAAACGAAAGCUGAGAAGGUCCAAGAGACCUUUACCUAGCAAGAAAUGGAGAAAUGUAGAUUCAAAGGAGAAACUGCCCGAUGGAAGUGAUGAAGAUUCAGGGGGAGACUUAAUUGCCACAGAUUAUGGGGAAGAAACUCAAGAAGAGGAGAAUGCAGAUGAUGGGGAGCAGUCUUCUGUAAUCCUUGAAGGAGGAUUGAAAAUUCCUGCUUCCAUUCAUAAGAACCUUUUUGAUUAUCAAAAAGUGGGGAUACAAUGGCUGUGGGAGCUGCACUGCCAAAGAGCUGGUGGCAUUAUAGGAGAUGAAAUGGGUCUGGGCAAGACUGUGCAGGUGAUAUCAUUUCUUGGUGCUCUACAUUUCAGUAAAAUGUAUAAACCCAGCAUUGUUGUUUGUCCAGUCACACUUCUGCGACAGUGGCAGCGGGAAGCUCGAAAAUGGUACCCUAACUUCAAAGUUGAGAUACUGCAUGAUUCUGCACAUGGUUUAAAUAAACAGAUGGUGGCAAAGUCAAGUGAAAGCGAUUAUGAUAGUGAAGAUUCCAUGGAUACUGAUAAUGAAAGACCUCGCCCUGCUAAGUCAGUAAAGAGGUGGAAUGAUUUGAUUGAUCGUGUUGUGCAAUCAGAAUCUGCUUUACUCCUUACCACAUAUGAGCAACUACGCCUUCUAGGGGAGAAGUUGCUCGAUAUAGAGUGGGGAUAUGCCAUAUUGGAUGAGGGUCACCGUAUAAGAAAUCCUAAUGCUGAAAUAACUUUAGUUUGUAAACAGUUACAGACAGUGCACCGUAUAAUCAUGACUGGUGCACCAAUUCAGAACAAGCUUUCAGAACUUUGGUCCCUUUUCGAUUUUGUCUUCCCUGGAAAGCUAGGUGUUUUACCUGUAUUUGAGACAGAAUUCGCUGUUCCUAUUACAGUUGGUGGGUAUGCUAAUGCUACACCAUUGCAAGUGUCCACAGCUUACAGAUGUGCAGUUGUCUUGCGUGACUUGAUAAUGCCAUACCUUCUCAGGCGUAUGAAAGCUGAUGUGAACGCCCAACUUCCCAAGAAAACUGAGCAUGUCCUUUUCUGCAGCCUAACUUCAGACCAGCGAUCUGUUUAUAGGGCAUUCCUUGCUAGUUCUGAAGUGGAGCAAAUUUUUGAGGGCAAUAGAAACUCACUUUAUGGAAUAGAUAUCAUGCGUAAGAUUUGCAAUCAUCCUGAUCUUUUAGAAAGAGAACACUCUGCUCAGCAUCCGGACUAUGGGAAUCCAGAGCGGAGCGGAAAAAUGAAAGUGGUUGCUCAAGUUCUUAGGGUCUGGAAGGAGCAAGGACAUCAUGUUCUACUCUUCACACAGACUCAACAAAUGCUAGACAUUUUUGAAAACUUCUUGGCUGCAAGUGGGUAUAGCUAUCGGAGAAUGGAUGGACUUACUCCUGUAAAGCAGAGGAUGGCACUUAUGGACGAAUUUAACAACUCAUCUGAUGUCUUUAUUUUUAUCCUGACUACUAAAGUUGGUGGUUUAGGGACAAACUUGACUGGUGCUGACAGGGUUAUCAUAUAUGAUCCUGACUGGAAUCCUUCCACAGAUAUGCAGGCAAGAGAACGUGCUUGGCGGAUCGGGCAGAAACGGGAAGUAACAGUUUACAGGUUGAUCACACGCGGAACUAUAGAGGAGAAGGUGUACCAUAGGCAGAUUUACAAACAUUUCCUGACCAAUAAGAUAUUGAAGAACCCUCAGCAAAGAAGAUUCUUUAAAGCCAAAGACAUGAAGGAUCUCUUCAUGUUGCAAGAUGGUAGAGAGGGUGGUUCUACUGAGACUUCAGACAUAUUCAGCCAGUUGUUUGAAGAGGUAAAUGUUGGGAUUGGCAAUGGCUACCAACAUAAACAAGGGUCCUCCUCUGCAGCUUCUACUUGUCCUGUUGUGCCAGCUAGAGAAACAAACUCUCCAGGGCUUGGAGCAUCUAGCUCCAACAGCAAAGGAAAAGAUAUUGCUGGUCAGAGGAAUGGUGAAAUAGAUGAAGAAACAAAUAUAUUGAAGAGUCUUUUUGAUGCUCAUGGGAUUCAUAGUGCAAUGAAUCAUGAUGCUAUUAUGAAUGCCAAUGACGAUGAUAAGUUGAGGCUGGAGGAGCAAGCUUCCCGAGUUGCACGAAGGGCAGCUGAAGCGUUGCGUGAAUCAAGAAGGCUCAGAAGCCGUGACAGUUUUUCUGUUCCAACAUGGACAGGAAGAUCAGGUGCUGCUGGGGCACCAUCAUCUGUCUGUAGGAAGUUUGGGUCUAGUGUGAAUACUCAAUUACUUGGUCCUUCAAAACCAUCACAAGGGUCUGCAAGUAGGCCUCCUGGUUUAGCAGCUGGAGCUUCCACCGGUAAGGCACUGUCUUCAGCUGAACUCUUGGCUAGAAUCCAUGGAACUCAAGAAAGAGCAGUUGAUGAUGCACUCGAGCAAGAUCUAGAUUUGGCAUCUAGUUUGAAUCAGAGAGCGAGAAUUCCCGAAGACACUCUGGCAUCAAAGCCUUCCCAUAGGUAUAUGGUGGUCCAACCUGAGAUCUUGAUCCGCCAACUAUGCACCUUCAUACAACAGAGGGGUGGGCAAACUGAUUCUGCUAGCAUAACACAGCACUUCAAGGACAGAAUACAGUCAAAAGAUUUACCUCUGUUCAAGAAUCUUCUCAAGGAGAUAGCUACGCUACAGAAAGAUGCUGGUGGAUCUAGAUGGGUUUUAAAGCCAGAAUAUCGGUAGAUGAAGCAUCAUAGAUUUACUGUUCCCUGGUAGACGCAUGCUGCUAUAAAGCUGCAUUAAAUAGUAGGAAAUUGUUGUUUGAGUUGGUAAAACAGCCCAGAAAUGUGAUCCUUCGUUUUUUUCUUCAACUUCCACAGCUUCUAUGGUACCUGCAUAGAGCCGUUGGGAUGAAGUUUUGUUUUACUAAAUUCACAGGUUAAAUCAAGUAUAUUCUUCACUUUACCUUUUACCAUUUUGGAGAGGGGACAGAUGUUAAAAAGAUAAUGACACUAUUCAGGUGUCAUGCUGUACAUAUUAUAGAUUUUCAAUCCAUUGGAAAAAGAAAUUUAUAAAGAGGCAGGUAAAAUGUACAUCAGAGAACAGUACAAACAGACAGCAUAGGUUGGAUCUUCUCUCUUUUCCUACCGGUAGCAGAUAAUAUCAGAGAUACAAUCCCAGCCUGAUCUCCAAGCACUUCGCAAAUUAGAUGAACGCCAACAUGUCCAUGGUUCGUGGAGGCUCCUAGACUUCGUAGUCAUACUUGUGUUUGGCGUGGUCAGACAUUGCACAAUGCUGAAGAGGUAACAUCUCCAUAUCAAGGAGGAACAUAUCAGGAGUAGGUUCUAUCAAAGCUCCGAAGUUCUCAUGCAUCAUUUCCCUCCCCAAAAAAGGGAGGGGGAGAAAGAGAGAGAGAUGACAGGGAGGGAGAGAGGGAGAGGUUCCAGAAGAAAAGUUGAUCGAUCAACUCACAAGUUUCUACAAAGCAAUAUCAGAUGAUUUGUAUCCUCUUAUUUUUAACUAUUAUCUCAUUGAUCCACACUUGCUGUUAAACAUUUACUUCAAGAAGUUCAAGGAAUAUUAAGAA
Phoenix dactylifera (date palm) is the source of this 4709-nucleotide non-coding RNA. NCBI's taxonomy places the organism in Eukaryota, Viridiplantae, Streptophyta, Magnoliopsida, Arecales, Arecaceae. The record is from RefSeq and is a predicted model, not a curated record.